This 48-nucleotide transfer RNA is filed under the name Pelargonium pulchellum. Its description in RNAcentral is "partial tRNA-Leu". Lineage: Eukaryota; Viridiplantae; Streptophyta; Magnoliopsida; Geraniales; Geraniaceae. The record is from RNAcentral.
AAUCCGUCGACGUUAAAAGUCGUGAGGGUKCAAGUCCCUCUAUCCCCA